CCGCAGUGAGCCGUUUGCAAGUUUAACGGUGUAGAAAUAUCCAAAUCAUGUGAAAUUUUGAUAGAAAAUUCUUUAUACUAUAUAAAAUAAGAUCAAUAUCUUUGAUCUAAAAUUUUAAUGUCAUAUUAUCACGUUUUGUAAGAUUUUUAUUUUCAGCCGUUGAUUUUGAACCCCUUCGUUCAAUAGGCAAAUAAUAUCAAAAAAUCCCAUAAUUUAUUUUCUAGAUACUUCAAAUACUCUAGAUCAAGUUUAACAGAGCCGAUCGACGAUUCGAAAGUUGCAACAAGAAAAACGGCCUGGAAGCACGGAAGGCUUCAUACUUCCAGAAGCAUAGUAGCCUCACUCAUAUAUAUAUAUAUAGAGCUAGGCUGGUAUACUAUCGGUAGCACGGAAGCCUCCGUGCUACCAAGUUGUUUUCAAUGAUGCGGCUUCCAAAUCGACGAUCGGCUCCAUUAGACUUGAUCUACACUAUUAAAAGUACUUGGAACUCAAUUUCAUAAUUUUUCGGUAUCAUUUACAUAUCAAACGAAUAGUCUAAAAAUGAACGGCUGAAAAUAAAAAUCUCAUAAAAAAUGAUGAUAGAAGACUUGAAUGUAAGAUCAGAGGUACUGAUCUUACUCUAAAUAGUAAAAAGAAUUUUCUAUAAAAAUUUCAUCUGAUUUGGAUUGUUUUACACCGUUAAAUUCACAAACGCAUCACAUCUACCAUUAAAAUUGUUAAUUUUGAGACCUUUUAAUCACUAGCCAAAUGAUGUCGAAAAAUUAUGAAAUUUAAUUUCCAAAUACUUUUAAUAGUGUAGACCAAGUCUAAAGGAGCCGAUCGUCGAUUCAGAAGCUGAAUCAUC
Molecule: long non-coding RNA, 844 nt
Filed under: Ananas comosus (pineapple)
Lineage: Eukaryota; Viridiplantae; Streptophyta; Magnoliopsida; Poales; Bromeliaceae
Description: long non-coding RNA (ACOM_LNC037765)
Source: RNAcentral